Molecule: ribosomal RNA, 1345 nt
Filed under: Vibrio neptunius
Lineage: Bacteria; Pseudomonadati; Pseudomonadota; Gammaproteobacteria; Vibrionales; Vibrionaceae
Description: 16S ribosomal RNA
Rfam family: Bacterial small subunit ribosomal RNA
Source: RNAcentral
GUCGAGCGGCGGACGGGUGAGUAAUGCCUGGGAAAUUGCCCUGAUGUGGGGGAUAACCAUUGGAAACGAUGGCUAAUACCGCAUAAUAGCUACGGCUCAAAGAGGGGGACCUUCGGGCCUCUCGCGUCAGGAUAUGCCCAGGUGGGAUUAGCUAGUUGGUGAGGUAAGGGCUCACCAAGGCGACGAUCCCUAGCUGGUCUGAGAGGAUGAUCAGCCACACUGGAACUGAGACACGGUCCAGACUCCUACGGGAGGCAGCAGUGGGGAAUAUUGCACAAUGGGCGCAAGCCUGAUGCAGCCAUGCCGCGUGUAUGAAGAAGGCCUUCGGGUUGUAAAGUACUUUCAGCAGUGAGGAAGGCGGAGUCGUUAAUAGCGGCCUUGUUUGACGUUAGCUGCAGAAGAAGCACCGGCUAACUCCGUGCCAGCAGCCGCGGUAAUACGGAGGGUGCGAGCGUUAAUCGGAAUUACUGGGCGUAAAGCGCAUGCAGGUGGAUGAUUAAGUCAGAUGUGAAAGCCCGGGGCUCAACCUCGGAAUAGCAUUUGAAACUGGUCAUCUAGAGUACUGUAGAGGGGGGUAGAAUUUCAGGUGUAGCGGUGAAAUGCGUAGAGAUCUGAAGGAAUACCGGUGGCGAAGGCGGCCCCCUGACAGAUACUGACACUCAGAUGCGAAAGCGUGGGGAGCAAACAGGAUUAGAUACCCUGGUAGUCCACGCCGUAAACGAUGUCUACUUGGAGGUUGUGGCCUUGAGCCGUGGCUUUCGGAGCUAACGCGUUAAGUAGACCGCCUGGGGAGUACGGUCGCAAGAUUAAAACUCAAAUGAAUUGACGGGGGCCCGCACAAGCGGUGGAGCAUGUGGUUUAAUUCGAUGCAACGCGAAGAACCUUACCUACUCUUGACAUCCUCAGAAGAGACUGGAGACAGUCUUGUGCCUUCGGGAACUGAGAGACAGGUGCUGCAUGGCUGUCGUCAGCUCGUGUUGUGAAAUGUUGGGUUAAGUCCCGCAACGAGCGCAACCCUUAUCCUUGUUUGCCAGCACUUCGGGUGGGAACUCCAGGGAGACUGCCGGUGAUAAACCGGAGGAAGGUGGGGACGACGUCAAGUCAUCAUGGCCCUUACGAGUAGGGCUACACACGUGCUACAAUGGCGCAUACAGAGGGCAGCCAACUUGCGAAAGUGAGCGAAUCCCAAAAAGUGCGUCGUAGUCCGGAUUGGAGUCUGCAACUCGACUCCAUGAAGUCGGAAUCGCUAGUAAUCGUGGAUCAGAAUGCCACGGUGAAUACGUUCCCGGGCCUUGUACACACCGCCCGUCACACCAUGGGAGUGGGCUGCAAAAGAAGUGGGUAG